RNAcentral lists this unclassified non-coding RNA (391 nucleotides) under soil metagenome. RNAcentral's name for it is "partial contains 5.8S ribosomal RNA, internal transcribed spacer 2, and large subunit ribosomal RNA". The stretch from base 1 to 122 matches the Rfam family "5.8S ribosomal RNA", at positions 35 to 154 of the family's 154-position model. The record is from RNAcentral.
GAUGAAGAACGUAGCGAAAUGCGAUACUUGGUGUGAAUUGCAGAAUCCCGUGAACCAUCGAGUCUUUGAAUGCAAGUUGCGCCCGAAGCCAUUAGGCCGAGGGCACGCCUGCCUGGGCGUCACACGUCGUUGCCCCCCCAUCUACUCCUUCGGGAUUGCGGGGGGCGGAUGAUGGCCUCCCGUGCGCCUCGUCGCGCGGUUGGCAUAAAUGCCAAGUCCUCGGCGACGCACGCCACGACAAUCGGUGGUUGCGAAACCUCGGUUGCCCGUCGUGUGCGGUCGUCGCGCAUCGAGGGCUCGAAAAAAUUGCCGGGCUCCGGCUCGGCUUUCAACGCGACCCCAGGUCAGGCGGGGUUACCCGCUGAAUUUAAGCAUAUCAAUAAGCGGAGGA